This is a long non-coding RNA of Aethalodelphis obliquidens (Pacific white-sided dolphin), 265 nucleotides long. RefSeq lists it as uncharacterized. The transcript is spliced from 2 exons. NCBI's taxonomy places the organism in Eukaryota, Metazoa, Chordata, Mammalia, Artiodactyla, Delphinidae. The record is from RefSeq and is a predicted model, not a curated record.
GCUCACAGCACCCCUGGAGAACUUCACCCUCCCCUGAUUUUCCAGAGAUGGAGACACAGGCGCUCACCCAGCUGGGAAGCCACUGAACUGGGACUCAAACCCAGGCCCGCAGGAGGAGGCCAAAGGAUUCCUUUAGUGCCCCCUGAGGUGGACUGGCAUCUCACAACUUGGAAUACCAGGAGAUGGGCAGAAGCCCUUGCUGAGGUCCAGACAGAAGAAGUGGGACCCAGAGGGAGCAGCCCAGCCUCUCACACGGCCGAGUGAG